CGCCCCCUGCCGGCCGAUCGCCGCGCUGCGCUGCUCUCCUCUGCCAUGACGGCCGCGGGGCUGACGUUCCCCGCUGCGCGCCCGGGGCAGGCCGUGGCCGGAGCCCUCCGUGGGCUGCCAGAUGGCUGCGGUACAAAGGGCAGCCCGCCUCGUGUUUGCGUUACAAGGCACUGAACAAACGCAUCGCAGCUGACACCGCUCCAGCUUUGGGCGCGUGAGGUGUACCUGCCCUACCAGAACGAACCGUGAUUUAUACGACGUUUGUCCAAAGCAUUUUUCUUCUAUUAGCCGUACCACUGCGUGUCAGAGGCAGAACGUGGAUUUAUCCGCUGCUCGUGCUGCCCACAUCGCACAUAAUGCUGUGUGCACUGAGUAAAAAACACAGAAGUAAAUACUGUGCCUGCCAAGGGAGGACGUACAGAUGGAAGGCUCCGUCUCCAAGGGGAUUUGGAUCCGGAUCAACAUCCAGCAGCCGCAGCGGUUAGCGGAGCCCCGGCAGUGCUAAAGGUCUGAGGCACUCACUGCCUCUGAAGGAGCUCAGUGUGCCCCGAUGCCGUGGAA
This 561-nucleotide long non-coding RNA is filed under the name Gallus gallus (chicken). RNAcentral's name for it is "long non-coding RNA NONGGAT003862". Lineage: Eukaryota; Metazoa; Chordata; Aves; Galliformes; Phasianidae. The record is from RNAcentral.